This 500-nucleotide long non-coding RNA is filed under the name Mytilus galloprovincialis (Mediterranean mussel). The record is from RNAcentral. Lineage: Eukaryota; Metazoa; Mollusca; Bivalvia; Mytilida; Mytilidae.
GUUAGCCUUAUUAUCCUAGGAUCACUCCUUAAUAAUUGUUUCUUUUACAAUCAUACCUCUUUUUAUUUCUAUUAAAAGCGAGGUGAAAAGAAAAUAAUAUUUUUUUCAUGAAAAAUACCACUCUACAAAAAAGUCUAAAAAAUAGACUGUUUUGCAAACAAAUAAGUUUUUUACUAAUAACAUUGUUUAUAUACCCUGUUGAUACACCUUGUCUGCCUACUUUUGGAGUUUGUGUGAUUCUCUCAGGUUUUUUGUCACUUAUAUAUAUUUACUUACUUACUGCCCUUGUACGCCAUUGUUUUUUUUGUAUUACCUUGUUAUUAUCUUCAAAAUCCCUUUAUGUUAUUUGAACUUCAGUAAACUACUGUUGCCUAAUUUCAUUUAUAUAAAAUAUUAGAAAAGUCUUAAUAUUUAAAUAUCUACAAAAUAACUAAAUCAAACUGGAUUAAUUGCAAGGGAUUUGAACAACACUCUGGGUACCCCGAAAAAUAGUCUCAAGC